UCCAUCAAACAGCCUUAUAGGAUCUUGAGC
Molecule: non-coding RNA, 30 nt
Filed under: Rattus norvegicus (Norway rat)
Lineage: Eukaryota; Metazoa; Chordata; Mammalia; Rodentia; Muridae
Source: RNAcentral